UCUCCGUAGGUGAACCUGCGGAAGGAUCAUUACAGAGUUCAUGCCCUCACGGGUAGAUCUCCCACCCUUGAAUAUUUAUACCUUAGUUGCUUUGGCAGGCCGUGGAAACACCGUGGGCUCCGGCUUAUGCGUGCCUGCCAGAGGAAACAAACUCUGUUUUUAGUGAUGUCUGAGUACUAUAUAAUAGUUAAAACUUUCAACAACGGAUCUCUUGGUUCUG
Molecule: unclassified non-coding RNA, 220 nt
Filed under: plant metagenome
Description: partial contains small subunit ribosomal RNA, internal transcribed spacer 1, and 5.8S ribosomal RNA
Source: RNAcentral